Molecule: ribosomal RNA, 433 nt
Filed under: uncultured bacterium
Lineage: Bacteria
Description: partial 16S ribosomal RNA
Rfam family: Bacterial small subunit ribosomal RNA
Source: RNAcentral
AGUGAACGCUGGCGGCAGGCCUAAUACAUGCAAGUCGAACGAACUCUUCGGAGUCAGUGGCGGAUGGGUGUGUAACACGUGGGAACGGUCCUUUAUGUUCGGAAUAACUCAGGGAAACUUGUGCUUAUACCGAACGUGCCCUUCGGGGGAAGGAUUUAUUGCCUUUAGUGCGGCCAGCGUCUGAUUAGCUAGUUCUUUAGGUAAAGGCUCACCAAGGGGACAAUCAGUAGCUGGUCUGAGAGAAUGAUUAGCCACAUUGGGACUGAGACGCGGCCUAAACUCCUACGGGAGGGGGCAGUGGGGGAUCUUGCACAGUGGGCGAAGGGCUGACGGAGCCAUGCCGCGUGAAUGAUGAAAGUCUUGGGGAUGUAAUGUUCUUUCACCGGGGACGAUAAUGACGGUACCCGGAGAGAAAGCCCCGGCUAACUUCGUG